This 516-nucleotide ribosomal RNA is filed under the name Triticum aestivum (bread wheat). RNAcentral describes it as "partial small subunit ribosomal RNA". The record is from RNAcentral. Lineage: Eukaryota; Viridiplantae; Streptophyta; Magnoliopsida; Poales; Poaceae.
AUGAACCUAGCAGCUGCCUGCACUUCGAUGGAGGUGAAGGCAAGGCCGGCGAGGGGCGGAAAGAGGACCAGGGCGAGCGGAGGCAUGGCGGUACCGGUGGAGAAGAAGGUGUUGGAGAGGGAGAGGAGGCAGCGCAUGAAGGCGCUAUGCGAGAAGCUCGGGUCCCUCAUCCCAAAAGAACACUUCCCCCACGCUGAUACAAUGACCCAGUUAGGCAGCCUGGAUGUGGCGGCAUCAUACAUCAAGAAGCUCACGGAGUGGGUCGAUGAGCUACAACACAAGAAGACCUCUAUACAAGCCAUGGCUACCUUACUGGGAGUUAAUGGCAUCUCAACGCCCAUUAUCACCGCUACCAGAAGCAGCGGCGCAGGGUCACCAGAAGGAGGAAACAAAAUGGAGGCAUCACCACUAGUAGUGGAGGUGCGGCAACCCGGCUAUGCAAGCAUGGAGGCCUUCAGCACUAGAAUUGGCAUAGAUGCUUCAAGAAUUUCCGAACGACUGGGAGCAUUUGUAUGA